CCUACGGGAGGCAGCAGUAGGGAAUCUUCCACAAUGGGCGAAAGCCUGAUGCAGCAACGCCGCGUGGGUGAAGAAGGUCUUCGGAUCGUAAAACCCUGUUGUUAGAGAAGAAAGUGCGUGAGAGUAACUGUUCACGUUUCGACGGUAUCUAACCAGAAAGCCCCGGCUAACUACGUGCACGCAGCCGGGGUAAUACGUCGGUGGCAAGCGUUAUCCGGAUUUAUUGGGCAUAAAGGGAACGCAGGAGGUCGUUUAAGUCUGAUGUGAAAGCCUUCGGCUUAACCGGAGUAGUGCAUUGGAAACUGGGAGACUUGAGUGCAGAAGAGGAGAGUGGAACUCCAGGUGUAGCGGUGAAAUGCGUAGAUAUAUGGAAGAACACCAGUGGCGAAAGCGGCUCUCUGGUCUGUAACUGACGCUGAGGUUCGAAAGCGUGGGUAGCAAACAGGAUUAGAUACCCGUGUAGUC
This 465-nucleotide ribosomal RNA is filed under the name uncultured bacterium. RNAcentral describes it as "partial 16S ribosomal RNA". It matches the Rfam family "Bacterial small subunit ribosomal RNA", at positions 338 to 795 of the family's 1533-position model. The record is from RNAcentral.